This 407-nucleotide ribosomal RNA is filed under the name Verrucomicrobiota bacterium. Its description in RNAcentral is "Verrucomicrobia bacterium partial 16S ribosomal RNA". It matches the Rfam family "Bacterial small subunit ribosomal RNA", at positions 355 to 776 of the family's 1533-position model. The record is from RNAcentral. Lineage: Bacteria; Pseudomonadati; Verrucomicrobiota.
UGGGGAAUAUUGGACAAUGGAGGAAACUCUGAUCCAGCAAUUCUGUGUGUGUGAAGAAGGUUUUAGGACUGUAAAACACUUUUAGUAGGGAAGAAAAAAAUGACGGUACCUACAGAAGAAGCAACGGCUAAAUACGUGCCAGCAGCCGCGGUAAUACGUAUGUUGCGAGCGUUAUCCGGAAUUAUUGGGCUUAAAGGGCAUCUAGGCGGUAAGACAAGUUGAAGGUGAAAACCUGUGGCUCAACCAUAGGCUUGCCUACAAAACUGUUGAACUAGAGUACUGGAAAGGUGGGUGGAACUACACGAGUAGAGGUGAAAUUCGUAGAUAUGUGUAGGAAUGCCGAUGAUGAAGAUAACUCACUGAACAGAAACUGACGCUGAAGUGCGAAAGCUAGGGGAGCAAACAGG